ACUCAAAGGAAUUGACGGGGGCCCGCACAAGCGGUGGAGCAUGUGGUUCAAUUCGAAGCAACGCGAAGAACCUUACCAGCCCUUGACAUGUCCCGUAUGAGAACCAGAGAUGGAUCUCUUCAGUUCGGCUGGCGGGAACACAGGUGCUGCAUGGCUGUCGUCAGCUCGUGUCGUGAGAUGUUGGGUUAAGUCCCGCAACGAGCGCAACCCUCGCCCUUAGUUGCCAUCAUUCAGUUGGGCACUCUAAGGGGACUGCCGGUGAUAAGCCGCGAGGAAGGUGGGGAUGACGUCAAGUCCUCAUGGCCCCUACGGGCUGGGCUACACACGUGCUACAAUGGCGGUGACAAUGGGAUGCGAAGGGGCAACCCGGAGCUAAUCUCAAAAAGCCGUCUCAGUUCGGAUUGCACUCUGCAACUCGAGUGCAUGAAGUCGGAAUCGCUAGUAAUCGUGGAUCAGCAUGCCACGGUGAAUACGUUCCCGGGCCUUGCACACACCGCCCGU
RNAcentral lists this ribosomal RNA (501 nucleotides) under uncultured bacterium. RNAcentral's name for it is "partial 16S ribosomal RNA". It matches the Rfam family "Bacterial small subunit ribosomal RNA", at positions 899 to 1397 of the family's 1533-position model. The record is from RNAcentral.